RNAcentral lists this ribosomal RNA (253 nucleotides) under uncultured bacterium. RNAcentral describes it as "partial 16S ribosomal RNA". It matches the Rfam family "Bacterial small subunit ribosomal RNA", at positions 524 to 776 of the family's 1533-position model. The record is from RNAcentral.
UACGAAGGGGGCUAGCGUUGCUCGGAAUCACUGGGCGUAAAGCGCACGUAGGCGGCUCCUCAAGUCAGGGGUGAAAUCCUGGGGCUCAACCCCGGAACUGCCUUUGAUACUGAGGAGCUCGAGUCCGGGAGAGGUGAGUGGAAUUCCUAGUGUAGAGGUGAAAUUCGUAGAUAUUAGGAAGAACACCAGUGGCGAAGGCGGCUCACUGGCCCGGUACUGACGCUGAGGCGCGAAAGCGUGGGGAGCAAACAGG